ACGGGCGCCUAGGGACUACCUUGAGCAGGACUCAGGAUGAUGCUCAUUUUACAGGGGUUUGGAUGCUUCAUCUCUGCUGAGACCCAGUGCCUUCCACUGAAGGUGCUCAGGAAAUACCUUCUGAAUGAUCAGAAGCCCCUGCUAUCUGCUAAACUGGAUCUAUGAUGACAGAAGCCGAGGAAUGUGAGGUUCAUCUAGAGAGCUCUUGUGAGUUUUCCAAGGGAGGCACCUGUUGAACUCAGGCAUGGGCAUGUGACUUGAUUUGGUCAAUGAAAUGUGAGAGAAGUGACAUCCACUUUGAGGCAGGCACUUUCCAAAUGCCAUCAAGCUGAGAUGUGAAGUGGAAGUGAGGCAGAGGCUGCCUUCCUUUUGUUUGGCGCAGCGUUCUGUGAGAGAGCAGAGGUGGGAGAUGAGGGGACCUCUGCCCCAGUGUUUCUGCAUCCAAGCUCCAGCAUUGUUGAAGGUUGCUCUGACAGCCACUCUCCAUACUGCUGCCAGAAGGACCUUCAAAUAUCGCUCUUUUUAAUUAAAAAGCAAAACUCUUC
This 545-nucleotide long non-coding RNA is filed under the name Pongo abelii (Sumatran orangutan). Its description in RNAcentral is "lincRNA". The record is from RNAcentral. Lineage: Eukaryota; Metazoa; Chordata; Mammalia; Primates; Hominidae.